GAUGAACGCUGGCGGCGUGCCUAAUACAUGCAAGUAGAACGCUGAAGGAAGGAGCUUGCUCUUUCCGGAUGAGUUGCGAACGGGUGAGUAACGCGUAGGUAACCUGCCUGGUAGCGGGGGAUAACUAUUGGAAACGAUAGCUAAUACCGCAUAACAGUAGAUGUUGCAUGAUAUCUACUUAAAGGUGCAAUUGCACCACUACCAGAUGGACCUGCGUUGUAUUAGCUAGUUGGUGAGGUAACGGCUCACCAAGGCGACGAUACAUAGCCGACCUGAGAGGGUGAUCGGCCACACUGGGACUGAGACACGGCCCAGACUCCUACGGGAGGCAGCAGUAGGGAAUCUUCGGCAAUGGACGGAAGUCUGACCGAGCAACGCCGCGUGAGUGAAGAAGGUUUUCGGAUCGUAAAGCUCUGUUGUAAGAGAAGAACGAGUGUGAGAGUGGAAAGUCCACACUGUGACGGUAUCUUACCAGAAAGGGACGGCUAACUACGUG
This 496-nucleotide ribosomal RNA is filed under the name uncultured bacterium. RNAcentral's name for it is "partial 16S ribosomal RNA". It matches the Rfam family "Bacterial small subunit ribosomal RNA", at positions 28 to 507 of the family's 1533-position model. The record is from RNAcentral.